CCCAGGUGUGGUAACGUGCACCUGUAAUCCCGGCUGCUUGGGAGGGUGAGGCAGGAGAAUUGCUUGAACCCAGGAGGUGGAGGUUGCAGUGAGCUGAGAUUGCACCACUGUACUCCAGCCUGGGUAACAGAGCAAGACUCUGUCUCAA
Molecule: non-coding RNA, 148 nt
Filed under: Pan paniscus (pygmy chimpanzee)
Lineage: Eukaryota; Metazoa; Chordata; Mammalia; Primates; Hominidae
Also listed under: 1 other name
Source: Rfam by way of RNAcentral